UAGAAAAAAGCUGCUGCAGCCCUCGUCCCCGCCGGAAAUCGCCUCCGAUUUUCGUUUGGCCAUAUCUUCCUCCUCCGGCCACCGAUCCUCACCAAACUUCUUCCAUUGGCUUCGUAUGGUCCUUGCGCACCUGUCUGUGGCAGCCUUGCACGGCGGCACGGCCCCUAGCGGCGGCGGCGGCCCGGUUUCGAUUUAAGCUCGAUUUUGGUCAACGCCGGUUUUCUCCUAGCUCCGGCCACCAAAACUUCCGAUCCUUGGCUCCAUGAACUCCCCUCAACCUGCUGAUCAUCAUACUAGGAGGAUUGCACCUAGAGUGACCGGUUUCACGUUCGUCGGAGCUCGUGAGUUCUCCUUGAUGUUCUUAACAACUCUCUAGAAGGGAUCGAAGCCUGAAAUUGAAUUUUUGACGUCGAAAUCAAGCCUUGCCGGAUUCUGCAAAUUUCGCCGGAUUCUGGAAAUUUUCCGGCCACCUCGACUGUUUUAGGUGAUUGACGGUCUUCCUUGGGUGAGCGGUUUUGGUGUGUAUUGUGUUGAAUUGAAGACGCAGCGGGAAUAUCGAGCGGGUAAUCCUACAGGUCAGGAGAAUCAGGACGGUGAUCGUGCGGGUUAGAGAAUUUGUUUUAGUUUACAGCAAUUGUAAUUGUGAGGUGAGUUAUGCUCAUUUGAACCUUACAAUAUAAUUUGGUGAGAGUGUGCUGUAAUAAACAAAUUUGAGAUUUGGUUUAUGUAAUAUCGAGCGAUGUGAGGUGUGGUUGUUUUGAGAAAAAAUUCAGGUUGUAUUUAUGUGAGUUGUAUUAAUUCAUGUUUCGGAUUUGAAUUUGUUAUUCAAAAUUCGGGGCGUGACAUGGAUUUAAACAGAUUCUAAUGUAUUUUAUUUUGCAAGAUUUGUUUGGAUUUUGA
Molecule: long non-coding RNA, 900 nt
Organism: Rosa rugosa (rugosa rose)
Lineage: Eukaryota; Viridiplantae; Streptophyta; Magnoliopsida; Rosales; Rosaceae
Exons: 4
Source: RefSeq, a predicted model, not a curated record